Molecule: ribosomal RNA, 482 nt
Filed under: uncultured bacterium
Lineage: Bacteria
Description: partial 16S ribosomal RNA
Rfam family: Bacterial small subunit ribosomal RNA
Source: RNAcentral
GAUGAACGCUAGCGGCAGGCCUAAUACAUGCAAGUCGGACGGGAUUCAGGAGCUUGCUUCUGAUGAGAGUGGCGCACGGGUGCGUAACACGUAUGUAACCUACCUUUAUCAGGGGGAUAGCCUCUCGAAAGAGAGAUUAAGCCCGCAUAAAAUCACAGCACAGCAUUGUGUAAUGAUCAAAUAUUUAUAGGAUAAAGAUGGGCAUGCGGAACAUUAGCUAGAUGGCGGGGUAACGGCCCACCAUGGCGACGAUGUUUAGGGGAUCUGAGAGGAUGGCCCCCCACACUGGUACUGAGACACGGACCAGACUCGUACGGGAGGCAGCAGUAAGGAAUAUUGGUCAAGGAGCGGAAGCCUGAACCAGCCAUGCCGCGUGAAGGAAGACGGCCCUACGGGUUGUAAACUGCUUUUAUACGGGAAUAAUACCAGAUACGUGUACCUGGCUGAAUGUACUGUAAGAAUAAGGAUCGGCUAACUCCGUG